UGAUGUCCAGGGCUCGACGGUG
Molecule: non-coding RNA, 22 nt
Filed under: Mus musculus (house mouse)
Lineage: Eukaryota; Metazoa; Chordata; Mammalia; Rodentia; Muridae
Source: RNAcentral